GGAGGGUGCAAGCGUUAUCCGGAUUUACUGGGUUUAAAGGGUGCGUAGGUGGGCAGGUAAGUCAGUGGUGAAAUCUUCAAGCUUAACUUGGAAACUGCCAUUGAUACUAUUUGUCUUGAAUUAUCUGGAGGUAAGCGGAAUAUGUCAUGUAGCGGUGAAAUGCUUAGAUAUGACAUAGAACACCCAUUGCGAAGGCAGCUUACUACGGAUAUAUUGACACUGAGGCACGAAAGCGUGGGGAUCAAACAGGAUUAGAUACCCUGGUAGUCCACGCCCUAAACGAUGGAUACUCGACAUCAGCGAUACACAGUUGGUGUCUGAGCGAAAGCAUUAAGUAUCCCACCUGGGAAGUACGACCGCAAGGUUG
RNAcentral lists this ribosomal RNA (367 nucleotides) under uncultured bacterium. Its description in RNAcentral is "bacterial SSU rRNA". It matches the Rfam family "Bacterial small subunit ribosomal RNA", at positions 527 to 896 of the family's 1533-position model. The record is from RNAcentral.